GCUGGCGGCGUGCUUAACACAUGCAAGUCGAGUGCGCAGUUCUCUGUAGCAAUACAGGGGAUGGGCGCACGGCGCACGGGUGCGUAACACGUGGGCAAUCUGCCCUCGGAUGGGGGAUAACCCCGCGAAAGCGGGGCUAAUACCGCAUGACAUUCCGAAGACUCCGGUCUUUGGACUCAAAGGCCGCAAGGCCGUCUGAGGAGGAGCCCGCGCCCGAUUAGCUAGUUGGUGAGGUAACGGCUCACCAAGGCUUUGAUCGGUAGCCGGUCUGAGAGGAUGGCCGGCCACACUGGAACUGAGACACGGUCCAGACUCCUACGGGAGGCAGCAGUGGGGAAUAUUGCGCAAUGGGCGAAAGCCUGACGCAGCGACGCCGCGUGGGGGAUGAAGCUUCUCGGAGUGUAAACCCCUUUCGACCCGGACGAAUGACCCGCAAGGGUUUGACGGUACGGGUAUAAGAAGCCCCGGCUAACUACGUGCCAGCAGCCGCGGUAAUACGUAGGGGGCCAGCGUUGCUCGG
RNAcentral lists this ribosomal RNA (520 nucleotides) under uncultured soil bacterium. Its description in RNAcentral is "bacterial SSU rRNA". It matches the Rfam family "Bacterial small subunit ribosomal RNA", at positions 35 to 548 of the family's 1533-position model. The record is from RNAcentral.